GUGGCAGGUUUGACCAAUGAACGCUUUUACACAGUUGUUGAAAUAAAAAUGUUACGCUAAGAAAAGGGCUUCUAGUUAGAAGCCUUUCUGCAGGCAGUGACUCAGAGAUGUUACUGUCCCAGCAGCUGAUUUCAGCCUAAGUGCAUAUUGAAGGAAACAGGGAAGGGAAAGUUGCUGUGAUAAUAAUGCUGUGAUGGCGCAUCACCAGAGGUGGCGUGACAACAGGAUUCAUCACUGACCAUUAUAAAAUUGACUUCUUUCUUUUUCACUUCUGUUCCUUGGAAGAUAACGGCAAGUCACAGUGCUGUCUGGGCACUACAGUGAUUUAAGGGCCAGAUCCACAGGCAGGAUAGCUGCUUUACUGCACUGCUGCAUAAAAGGUAAUUAGCCCAUGUAGAAGGCAAUUAGCUCUGCACUGCCGUGGC
Molecule: long non-coding RNA, 425 nt
Organism: Myiozetetes cayanensis
Lineage: Eukaryota; Metazoa; Chordata; Aves; Passeriformes; Tyrannidae
Exons: 3
Source: RefSeq, a predicted model, not a curated record